This 393-nucleotide ribosomal RNA is filed under the name uncultured bacterium. RNAcentral describes it as "bacterial SSU rRNA". It matches the Rfam family "Bacterial small subunit ribosomal RNA", at positions 29 to 420 of the family's 1533-position model. The record is from RNAcentral.
AUUGAACGCUGGCGGCAUGCCUUACACAUGCAAGUCGAACGGCAGCACGGGUGCUUGCACCUGGUGGCGAGUGGCGAACGGGUGAGUAAUACAUCGGAACGUACCUUAUCGUGGGGGAUAACGCAGCGAAAGCUGUGCUAAUACCGCAUACGCCCUGAGGGGGGAAANCGGGGGGAUCGAAAGACCUCGCGCGAUUAGAGCGGCCGAUGCCUGAUUAGCUUGUUGGUGGGGUAAAGCCACCAAGGCGACGAUCAGUAGCUGGUCUGAGAGGACGAUCAGCCACACUGGGACUGAGACACGGCCCAGACUCCUACGGGAGGCAGCAGUGGGGAAUUUUGGGACAAUGGGGGAAACCCUGAUCCAGCAAUGCCGCGUGAGUGAAGAAGGCCUCGG